Molecule: long non-coding RNA, 4482 nt
Organism: Equus caballus (horse)
Lineage: Eukaryota; Metazoa; Chordata; Mammalia; Perissodactyla; Equidae
Source: Ensembl
CAUGGGCCAGGCUCUCUGCUGGGUCCUUGCUACUCAAAGUGUGUGGUCCUCAGACAGGAAGCACGCAGGCUCUUCUUGGGUGGUUCACUCUGAUGAGCUGAGCUGCCAUGUUGCCAGCUGCUCUGUGGAAAUUCCUGCACAUCAAGGCAUUGAAUGCAGCCUUCAGCCAACAGCCAGUGCAAGAACUCAUAAGGAACUGAAUCCUGCCAACAGCCACUGAAUGAGCUUCGAAGCAGAUCGACCCCUCUCUUGAGCCCAGAGAUGACUUUAGCCCUGGCGGACGCUUUGAUUGCAGCCUGAGAGAGACCCAGAGUCAGAGGACCCAGUGGUUGGACACAGAAGAUGCAGGAGAGGACUUCAGUGAAGACUUAAAAGAACAACUCCAGACUAUGAAAGAAAAGGCUGAGAGCUGAUUGAGAAGUUGAAGGGUUUCUUCAGAGUGAGAGCUGCAUCUUUUCCUGUGAUUCCCACCCCUCACCUCUAUGGAGAAGACAUCCUUCCCCUUUACUUGGGCUAGUUGGUAGGAACCUUAGGAGAACCGUCUGUGCCCACUGAUGGGUCUGUGUGGGUGUUGGGGGUGGAGACCGAUGUUUGACUCAGAUGAUGCAAGAGGCAGUGGUUAGCGCUGCCCUUGGGUAGUGUUGAGACUGAGAGACAAGGCUACACUGGAAAGUGCCUGUGCUCUGAGGUUGGCUGGGCCCAUGAACCUCAGUGCCUUGGGGGCUGGCUACAGACUCUUGUAAGGAAGCAGGAUCGUGUCCUUUUGAGAGAGAUCCAUCCAAGAGGACUAGUGGGAGGGCCUUAGGAAUGGAACCAUGGAAAACAAGACUGAGCGUGUCUUCAGUGGCCACCUGGGGGAGGCUUGGUCCAUAUCAAGGGAACUGCACAAUAGAGACCCUGAGCAAUAGGAGGUGCCCAAAGACCCCCACCCCAAGUGGUCCCAUGAGAAAAAGAUUCAGCAUCUGGAUUCUGCCACAUCCGGAAGUCAUCAAUGCCAGAUUUCAGCAGUCCUGUCAUAGAAGCUUUGUCCUGUACUUCUCUUCUUCCAAGCCUGUGCCCCUACUGGAGGGUCCCACACAGCAAACAAUAAGUAGUGGCUCAAGGAAGGGAAGAAUCCAACCAUAGCUUCCUUUCCUAUGCCAAUUCCCCCUCCCAGUGAUUGAAUUCUGCAGAGGAGAGAGGUUUGCAAUUGACUAAGAGCUUGGAAGUUUGUUGUGGUCCUGGGCUAGAUGCUUUGUUACCUAAAAGUGACCAGACAGUUUUACUCACUGAAGCACGAUGACUAGAAAGGCUCUGCAUUCUGCUCAGGAUUUCAGGCGGGUAGGGGGUGUUUGGGGUCCCAGGGUGGCUGUGCCAGGGCUGUGGGGAGAAGGGAUCAAUUGCUUCUUGCUUGUAACCGCUGAGUCCUCCAAAACACCCUGAAUAACUGCGUUUUCUGCCUUCUCGUGGUAUAAUUUCAGCCAUGUUCUUGGCAUGAGCUGACUCAGAAAGAGAUUGGUUAGUAAAGAUUUUUCUGAGCUCCCCAAAUUUAAAUUUCCACCCCCAAUUUCAUCUCCAUUCAGUGCCAUGCUGAGCCAUUUUAGAGCCAGAGGCAAAAGGAAAAAUCAGUAACACCGAUCCUGUGUUUAUUCAAAGUUGUGAUAUUUUGGUCGUCAGGGAUUUUCUUUGCAUUAAUUUUGAUUUUUUAACAUAUUACAUUAAAAUAUUGCUUAUCUUGGGGCUGGCCCAGUGGCAUAGCAGUGAUGUUCGAGUGCUGUGCUUUGUCAGCCCAGGGUUUACUGGUUCAGAUCCUGGACACAGACCUACACACCACUUACCAUGCCAUCUUGUGGCAGGCGUCCCACAUAUAAAGCAGAGGAAGAUGGGUGUGGAUGUUAGCUUAGGGCCAAUCUUCCUCAGCAAGAAGAGGAGGAUUGGCAGCAGAUGUUAGCUCAGGGCUAAUCUUCCUCAAAAAAAAAAAUGCAUAUAUAUAUAUAUAUAUAUAGCCUAUCUUGAUUAUUGAGUUUUUUUGAAGUCUCUUAAAUUUUAUGCCCCAAGCAAGUGUCUCAAUCACCUCACAUGAGUCCCAGCCCUGUCUCCACCCCUAUGUCGCCCAGUUCAACACCAUUACCAGCACUUCCAUUCUGAAGAAGAGGAGGAAAUAGGGCCAGCCCUCAAGAUGAGGAACAGUUUCCUAUCAAAUCCUUCUGCCCUGUCGUCAGAGGUCUCUCACCCCAAAUAGGCAACUUCUGGACUCCCCGGUGCCAUAGCCCAAACAGUAAAAAUCGGAAGGUUAUGCGUUUGCCUGUGAGGAGCAUAUAUUGUUCCAAUUUCCUGUCUAGACCACUGUUUACAGAGAACUAGAAGUGCCCCCAGGGUCCCAGCGUGCUUCACAAGUGGAAGGAUUCAUGUCAACCAUUCUGCACAAAUCUAGUCCUUCAAAGCCUUUUUGCCUUGAAGAUGCUCUGUCUGGGGUAUUUGGAGGAGGGAGAAACUUGGCAGGUUUUGUUUCUGGUCCUUUCCUAAUAUAACUUAGUAUUUAAGAGCAUGAACUUAGCUAAAAGUGGGAUUUGAUCUCCCAUUCCCUGACAUUCUCAUUGUGAAAUCUUACUUCUUACUCCAAACCUCAAUUUCCUCAUCUGUAAAAUGGCUCCUCAUAGAACAUGCGUAAGCAUGCAGGAGUCUGUUUAGCUCAGUGUGGCUGGAAAAAGGGGGAUGAAGUGACAGAUGAAUCUGUAUACAUAGGGGAAUCCAGAUUGUAAAAUGCCUUUAACUUCAUUGAGGGUCAUGUGGCAUAAUCCAUGCACAGCCCUUAGCUGUACACAGAGGACACAUGCACUAAACGAUAGCUACUGUCAUUAUUACACUUUUACGUGAUCAACAAUCUUGCUAACAGUGAAUUGGAGUGAAACUACACAUGGCAGAGACAUCGCUUCCUUGGAUGUUUCACUCUUUACUUACUAAUUUUAGCUAGUUGGCCUAAAAUUGGGCAGGUUGGCCCAAAAAUCAUGCUGGGUCCUCAGCAGUGUGGAGGCAGGAUAAAAAAGAGGACUUCAGGAUUGGGUGGGCAAGGGGACCACAGCCUGGCCUGAGAAGACCAGCGUGGUCUAUGGGUGGAGGGAAAGCACUCGUGGUUCAAGUAGGCACUGGGCUAACGUCAGACACAGUUAUGGUUGUCCAGGGAGCGAAGGAUCGAUCCUUAGGGUCGGAUGGACAGGUUGUGAGAGCAAAGCUGGGGUCCAGGAGUGAAUGAUGGGCUUUGCCAAGCCUUGCCAACUCCAACCCACCUGGUUAGCUGCCAGACAUAGUGUUUUGAGGAGGGUCCUGAGGUCAUAUCCACUUCAGUGGGGACAAGUGUCCUCAUUGAUUAGUGACGUCACCCCAUGACUCGGAUGGUUCCUCCACAUUAAGGUUCUAAAGGCAAUAUUUGAGACUACUCUUGGCGAGGCCCCAGACAGUGGCUAGGAAUAAACAAGGAGGUAUCCAACUUCCCUGGAGAAGGGGGCCGUACAGAUUUGCAGUAGAAGAACUAGGAGGAGCGGAAAACAGCUUUCUCCUCGGUACCCCUCCUGCCCCUCCCUUAGGAAUGGAGUCAACAAGACCUAAAUAUACUGAGCCAAACAGACAGGGCUUCAGCCCCAGGGGCUGAAUGGGUAACAGGGAAAUGGGUAAGGGUCUUGCAACCAUGUUAGUUUAAACAUCACCAGCAAUGGGGAGGCUGUGAGUCAUGGUGCUCCUCAGGCGCACAGGCACCCCUCAGUCUGUGUUCACAAACUGACCCCAGCUGCAUCCACUGGAGGAAAGAGGCUGUGUGGGAAAGAGAGCCUUGAGGGAGGAAGGCCUGGGUGCCCAGAGGAGGGUGAGUCUAGGACAUCAAGGCCAAAACCAACUGGUGGUGAAGCAAGGACUCUUUUCAUUGAAAUGACCCAGUUAUAUUAAAUGUCCACCCUGCAGACGCAAGAUAGAUGAGAACAUGGAGUUGCAAAUUAGGACAAGGUGCGCACUUUCCAGAUCUCCUGACCAGACUGGUAAAUGCUUGAAAUUUAGGCAUAAGUCAUUAGUGAAGGUAAUUUUUUCCUUAUUUUAUGUUAAACUAUUUCAAGCGAAGUCUCUUCUAUUUGGGCAACCUGCUUCAACGUGUCAGGACAAGAGAACGUUUCUGUAUGUCGAUUCCAUCUCUUGUUAGGCAAUUUUAUCUUCAUAUUCUUGUUUUGAUCUUCACAAAGAUAAAGAAUAGGCCAUUAUCCAUAUACAAUGAUUGGUGGACUUUGGGCAAGAGCGCCAACCUCUCUGUUCCUUUAACUGUUCGAUGGGGUAUGGUAAUUGUUUGGAUGGGGUCGACGUAAAGAUGAAUUGAGUGAACACAUGUGAAACACUCCUAACAAUUCCUGCACAACUCAGUAAAAGUUAGCUAUGACUGUCAUCACUAUUUUUGCUCCAUCCCUGAACAGAAAGACAAUUACAGAAUAGUCUUACCACUGAAAAGACAGGACAAAAGCAAAU